RNAcentral lists this ribosomal RNA (481 nucleotides) under uncultured bacterium. Its description in RNAcentral is "bacterial SSU rRNA". It matches the Rfam family "Bacterial small subunit ribosomal RNA", at positions 329 to 802 of the family's 1533-position model. The record is from RNAcentral.
AUCGUAACUCCUACGGGAGGCAGCAGUGGGGAAUUUUGGGCAAUGGGGGCAACCCUGAUCCAGCAAUGCCGCGUGAGUGAAGAAGGCCUUCGGGUUGUAAAGUUCUUUCGGUAUUGAGGAAGGUUGAUGUGAUAAUAGCACAUCAAAUUGACGUUAAAUACAGAAGAAGCACCGGCUAACUCCGUGCCAGCAGCCGCGGUAAUACGGAGGGUGCGAGCGUUAAUCGGAAUAACUGGGCGUAAAGGGCACGCAGGCGGUUAUUUAAGUGAGGUGUGGAAGCCCCGGGCUUAACCUGGGAAUUGCAUUUCAGACUGGGUAACUAGAGUACUUUAGGGAGGGGUAGAAUUCCACGUGUAGCGGUGAAAUGCGUAGAGAUGUGGAGGAAUACCGAAGGCGAAGGCAGCCCCUUGGGAAUGUACUGACGCUCAUGCGCGAAAGCGUGGGGAGCAAACAGGAUUAGAAACCCUGGUAGUCCUAGAGC